Molecule: long non-coding RNA, 2208 nt
Organism: Dromaius novaehollandiae (emu)
Lineage: Eukaryota; Metazoa; Chordata; Aves; Casuariiformes; Dromaiidae
Exons: 3
Source: RefSeq, a predicted model, not a curated record
UAUGUCCCUAUGGCCCAUCAUUCCUACGUGGUUGAUAAUGCACCUGUUGGAGCAAUCUUAGUUUUGAUGGUCUCAAUAGCCAGCAGCAGAUGUGCCCAAGUCACCCCUCUGAAACUCCAAGAACGUCUGUUAGAGCAUCCACGUGUUGGGUUAGAUUGCCACAUGAAAAAUCCAUUGACAUCCUUUAGCCUUAAUGUGGAAGUGAAGUCUGGGCAAGCCAUUCCACCCCACUAACAAACCAUGUUGCAGUUUACAAGGAGAACCUGCAAGCAUGAAGAAGCCGCCUGAGCCAGCGGAUCAAAGAACAGACUGUCUGACCAUCUCCACACCAGAAAUCCACCACGGCAUUAUCCUCUCUGAAGCCUUAUGUGUGUAUAGAUAGAAAUAUAUAUGCACACAUGUAUAUGUGUUCCUGUACAUCAUAUAUGACACAGAGCAGCAUCAGCUAUGAAAGAGAUGACUGAACAAAGUCAUACUGACCAAUCUUGACAUCUAAGUUCUAUCAGAGGCAGCCCAAGGCUUCUCCAAGCAGCCUACAUUAAAUUCUGCUGUUUCAAAGGGGGCAGAACGGUUUUAUUUCACUCUCAAUCACCAGAACGCGGUUUUGCUGCUGCUGCAACAGCUCCCGAAGCUGCCAUACUCCUCAAGUAACUCAGACUGCUGAAGGAAGGGGAGCUUCCUGUCUUCAGUAACACACAGCCACAGUCCUGCAGCACCCUUCCACCUCUAAGCUCGGUCAGCAGCCAGCAGAAAGAAAAACUGACAAAGCGGGGAAAGCACAGUUCUUCAGCUAAGCUAUGCUGUCAUGAAUCAGAAAACUGAACAAGUGAGCUUCUCUGUAGUCUGUCAAAGUCUGUUCUGAGAGGCAGUAAAGCCACACUGGUUUUAUAUGUAAACAGGUUCAUUUUGUACCUUUUUUAAAACUCUGUAAAAAGCAUAAUUUCUCUCUUUACUAAAAAAAAAACCCUGACAACAAAAAAAAUAUACCCAGUCAAAGAAAUGACAAAUCUAGCAUAGUAGGUGGUGUCAGUUAAUCCAUCUUUUUUUAGUAUUACUCUUUCAAAGGAUGCUCAGCACUGUAGUUUUGGACUGCCACUUAAAUUUUUGCUUUGAAAGUGUGUGUUUGGCUUUUUCCUUGUGUGCAAGGCAAUAGGUGGUCUGCUAACAGAAAUUUACAUGAUGGAUGCUUUUAUAGCCAUUUAUUUCUGCACCUGGAAAGGUGACAAACGCAAGAACUAAGGAACUCUUACUUCUCACAUGCCCCAAAAGAAAUCUCUUUAUUUCCCUAUGUGGCUCAAACACAAUCUCUGUCUUCUGUACCUGAAAAGUAUUACCAUUUCUUGGACUCUUCUCCUUAAUAGCAGAUGGGUCUCUGGGCUGUCCCAAAGGUUCUGUAAAGAAGGGAUGCCUUCCUCUAAAUUGUGGCACUCAUGACUUCAUCUUUCAUUUCUAAGACUUUGGAUUGCCACGUUGUUAUGAAUUGGCCUCAAACACUGGAGUGCCAGGAAAGCUAUUGAUGUGAUAUUCAGUGGAUUGAUGACAUGAUCACUGAAAGGGCUAGAGAUCAGGUAGCCCUUCUCCUGAAAGUUAUUAAAGUCAAAAUAAACAGUGAUAAAUGUAAGCCUUGUUUUGUUAGUAUGAUGCCCCUAUUUCAGCAUACUGUGUUGUGCUGCUGCUACUAUAUAAGUAUCUGAAAAUAAGUUUGAUCUGCAGAGUGUGAACUAGCUGGGAAUGCUUUGUGUGAGCAUGGUUGGACAUAAGCACCUGAGAAAGAUUCUCUAUGUAUGGCAUUUUAUCUGUUGCAUCUUACACUGAUUCACUUGUAUUUGAUGCAGGUAUUUAGUGUAACAUGGAGUCUUGUGAGAAGGCCUCCAGCCUAAGACGUUUUGUGUUAAUUACGAUGAAAAAAACCCACACAACUUUGUUACUGUUUUGAUACUGGGAAAGGCUAUAAUAGCAGUCUGUGUGUUCUUCAUCUUACAGCCUGCCAGCGUUCCCCAUUGCCAUGGUGGCAGGGAUAGUCAUCGGUACGGUUACAGGUGUCUCACCGCUCAUCUCUAUUGUCGUGUGUCUUGUCGUGAGAAAGAACAACUCUAAAAAACGUUACUCUGGCUGCAGUACCUCUGAGAGCUUGAUGUCACCGGUUAAGCAGGCUCCGCAGAAGUCACCCUCCAACACAGAGGGUCUGGUAACAUUGUUUGCCCUAGC